CCAGACUCCUACGGGAGGCAGCAGUGAGGAAUAUUGGUCAAUGGUCGGGAGACUGAACCAGCCAAGCCGCGUGAGGGAUGAAGGUACAGAGUAUCGUAAACCUCUUUUGUCAGGGAACAAAGGCGGGGACGUGUCCCCGGAUGAGUGUACCUGAAGAAAAAGCAUCGGCUAACUCCGUGCCAGCAGCCGCGGUAAUACGGAGGAUGCGAGCGUUAUCCGGAUUUAUUGGGUUUAAAGGGUGCGCAGGCGGAAUGUCAAGUCAGCGGUAAAAUUUCGGGGCUCAACCCCGUCGUGCCGUUGAAACUGGCGUUCUUGAGUGAGCGAGAAGUAUGCGGAAUGCGUGGUGUAGCGGUGAAAUGCAUAGAUAUCACGCAGAACUCCGAUUGCGAAGGCAGCAUACCGGCGCUCAACUGACGCUCAUGCACGAAAGCGUGGGUAUCGAACAGGAUUAGAUACCCUAGUA
RNAcentral lists this ribosomal RNA (463 nucleotides) under uncultured bacterium. RNAcentral describes it as "bacterial SSU rRNA". It matches the Rfam family "Bacterial small subunit ribosomal RNA", at positions 331 to 792 of the family's 1533-position model. The record is from RNAcentral.